GCUAGCGUGGCCCAAUGGACAAGGCGCAUAACUGCGAAUCAUGAGAUUCUGGGUUCGAAUCCCGACGUUGGUU
This 73-nucleotide transfer RNA is filed under the name Pelagophyceae sp. CCMP2097. RNAcentral describes it as "tRNA-Arg". It matches the Rfam family "tRNA". Rfam says of the family: Transfer RNA (tRNA) molecules are approximately 80 nucleotides in length. Their secondary structure includes four short double-helical elements and three loops (D, anti-codon, and T loops). The record is from RNAcentral. Lineage: Eukaryota; Pelagophyceae.